UGCGACUGAAACUCCAGCUCCGGCUACA
RNAcentral lists this small RNA (28 nucleotides) under Bombyx mori (domestic silkworm). Its description in RNAcentral is "piRNA piR-bmo-1376598". The record is from RNAcentral. Lineage: Eukaryota; Metazoa; Arthropoda; Insecta; Lepidoptera; Bombycidae.